Molecule: long non-coding RNA, 175 nt
Organism: Rhagoletis pomonella (apple maggot)
Lineage: Eukaryota; Metazoa; Arthropoda; Insecta; Diptera; Tephritidae
Exons: 2
Source: RefSeq, a predicted model, not a curated record
UUGUCAACUUACCAUGCAUGGUGAAAAGUUCAUUGUUGUAGAAACAGCUGGUCAACGCUAUUAUUUGCAAAAAAUAUGAGCGGUGAAACACCAGAAAAACGUGCAAAAUAUGAGCGGACGACGCAGGAGCAGCUGCAAUUUUAUGUGCAGUUUUGUAGGGAGCAUCCGGAGCUGC